GUUCAGCCAGAGGACGAAAUUCAAGCAGCAGAAGCAGACGAAAGAAUUCGCAGCUUUUUCCAAAAAGUUGCUGGAGAAGAUUUGGAAAUUGAUUGGAAGGAACUGCAAGAUGUCAUGAAUUUUGCAUUGAAGAGAGAAUUCAACUUCGAGGGCUUUUCCAAGGACGUGUGUCGGGCCAUGAUCGCCAUGAUGGACGUGGACCGCUCGGGCAAGUUGGGUCUGCACGAGUUCCUGCAGCUGUGGACGGACAUCCGCGUCUGGAAGAACGUGUUCCGCCUGUACGACAAAGAUUCCUCGGGUCACCUGUGUUCCUUCGAGCUAAGGCAGGCCCUCAAUUCAGCAGGCUACAGGUUGAACAACCACGUGUGCAAUGCGCUCAUGUUGCGCUACGGGGACGAUCAGGGACAGAUUGCCUUCGAUGAUUUCAUUAUGUGCAGCGUCAAGUUGAAGACCAUGAUGGGCCUAGGCGACGACCCGGACCAACUCCAAGCCUUUUACGAGGAAUUGAUGAGCGAAAACGAAGCAAAGCAACAGAAGGAGGAGGAGGAGGAGGAGGAAGAAGAAGAGGAAUAGGAGGAAAUAGGAUGAAGAAGGCGAGGAGGAGGAGGAUGCGUGGAUGAGGGGACGGAUGGAGACGUUUUUGGAGAAGGACGUCGAGAAAAAUAACACAGCGACCUUCACCCUCGAAGAGUGGGUUGAGAACACAAUGUAUUCGUAGGGAGAGAAGGAGAGGAGAAGAGGAGAGGAGAGAAGAUGAA
RNAcentral lists this unclassified non-coding RNA (758 nucleotides) under Penaeus chinensis. RNAcentral describes it as "calpain-A-like, transcript variant X3". The record is from RNAcentral. Lineage: Eukaryota; Metazoa; Arthropoda; Malacostraca; Decapoda; Penaeidae.